UACAGAGGGGGCGAGCGUUGUUCGGAAUUACUGGGCGUAAAGGGCGCGUAGGCGGCCCGCUAAGUCGAACGUGAAAUCCCCAGGCUUAACCUGGGAACUGCGUCCGAUACUGGCAGGCUUGAAUCCGGGAGAGGGAUGUGGAAUUCCAGGUGUAGCGGUGAAAUGCGUAGAUAUCUGGAGGAACACCGGUGGCGAAGGCGGCAUCCUGGACCGGUAUUGACGCUGAGGCGCGAAAGCUAGGGGAGCGAACUGG
RNAcentral lists this ribosomal RNA (253 nucleotides) under uncultured bacterium. RNAcentral's name for it is "partial 16S ribosomal RNA". It matches the Rfam family "Bacterial small subunit ribosomal RNA", at positions 524 to 776 of the family's 1533-position model. The record is from RNAcentral.